GUCUGGAAUUGCUCUGAUCUUUGCUUCUUAUUCUUUCACUCGGAAUUCAAGAGGUUUCUCUUCUGUUCAGGCAGAGUUGAUGAUGAUGGCGAUGAAGUGGAUGAUUUAGGGUAUGAUGCGAGGUUGGCCAGGCAAUGGAAACAAAGGCGCAUUGCCUAUCAAGAUUUCAAGCUCAAUUAUGGUGGUAAAAUUAGCUCCAGUGAAGAUCUUCAGAAGAGAGAUGAAAUUUACGACACUAAAGAAGUAGAAUAUGUGGAUGCUGACAAUAAGUACUUGGAAUUUUGGAUAGCUUAGAUUUAGAACCAUUUGUUGGUAGCGAUGUAUAUGUUUUUUUUUUUUUAAUCUGAGGACACAGCCUCAAGUUCAUUA
Hevea brasiliensis (rubber tree) is the source of this 369-nucleotide long non-coding RNA. RefSeq lists it as uncharacterized. NCBI's taxonomy places the organism in Eukaryota, Viridiplantae, Streptophyta, Magnoliopsida, Malpighiales, Euphorbiaceae. The record is from RefSeq and is a predicted model, not a curated record. The transcript is spliced from 2 exons.